Molecule: small RNA, 91 nt
Filed under: Buttiauxella sp. BIGb0552
Lineage: Bacteria; Pseudomonadati; Pseudomonadota; Gammaproteobacteria; Enterobacterales; Enterobacteriaceae
Description: sroE RNA
Source: RNAcentral
GAAACAUGGGAAGCAUUCGGCUUCCCGUGUAUGAUUGAACCCGCCAGACGUUUUGCUAAAGCAAACAGUCUGAUUUCGGGUUCAUUUUUUG